This 495-nucleotide ribosomal RNA is filed under the name uncultured bacterium. RNAcentral describes it as "partial 16S ribosomal RNA". It matches the Rfam family "Bacterial small subunit ribosomal RNA", at positions 29 to 506 of the family's 1533-position model. The record is from RNAcentral.
AUGAACGCUGGCGGCGUGCCUCAUACAUGCAAGUCGAGCGAACAGAUGAGGAGCUUGCUCCUCUGACGUUAGCGGCGGACGGGUGAGUAACACGUGGAUAACCUACCUAUAAGACUGGGAUAACUUCGGGAAACCGGAGCUAAUACCGGAUAAUAUAUUGAACCGCAUGGUUCAAUAGUGAAAGACGGUUUUGCUGUCACUUAUAGAUGGAUCCGCGCCGCAUUAGCUAGUUGGUAAGGUAACGGCUUACCAAGGCGACGAUGCGUAGCCGACCUGAGAGGGUGAUCGGCCACACUGGAACUGAGACACGGUCCAGACUCCUACGGGAGGCAGCAGUAGGGAAUCUUCCGCAAUGGGCGAAAGCCUGACGGAGCAACGCCGCGUGAGUGAUGAAGGUCUUCGGAUCGUAAAACGCUGUUAUUAGGGAAGAACAAAUGUGUAAGUAACUAUGCACGUCUUGACGGUACCUAAGCAGAAAACCACGGCUAACUACGU